This 473-nucleotide ribosomal RNA is filed under the name uncultured Methanosaeta sp. RNAcentral describes it as "bacterial SSU rRNA". It matches the Rfam family "Archaeal small subunit ribosomal RNA", at positions 871 to 1337 of the family's 1478-position model. Lineage: Archaea; Methanobacteriati; Methanobacteriota; Methanomicrobia; Methanotrichales; Methanotrichaceae. The record is from RNAcentral.
UUGACGGGGAGCACCACAACGGGUGGAGCUUGCGGUUUAAUUGGAUUCAACGCCGGAAAUCUUACCGGGACCGACAGCAAUAUGAAGGCCAGGCUGAAGACUUUGCCGGAUUAGCUGAGAGGUGGUGCAUGGCCGUCGUCAGUUCGUACUGUGAAGCAUCCUGUUAAGUCAGGCAACGAGCGAGACCCACGCCCACAGUUGCCAGCGUACUCUCUGGAGUGACGGGUACACUGUGGGGACCGCCGCUGCUAAAGCGGAGGAAGGAAUGGGCAACGGUAGGUCAGUAUGCCCCGAAUAUCCCGGGCUACACGCGAGCUACAAUGGUUGGUACAAUGGGUAUCUACCCCGAAAGGGGACGGGAAUCUCCUAAAACCAAUCUUAGUUCGGAUUGAGGGCUGCAACUCGCCCUCAUGAAGCUGGAAUCCGUAGUAAUCGCGUUUCAACAGAACGCGGUGAAUACGUCCCUGCUCCUU